GCCGGGCAUGGUGGCGCAUGCCUGUAGUCCCAGCUACUCAGGAGGCUGAGGCAGGAGAAUCGCAUGAACCCAGGAGGUGGAGGUUGCAGUGAGCCGAGAUUGCGCCACUGCACUCCAGUCUGGGCGACAGAGUGAGACUCUGUCUCAU
RNAcentral lists this non-coding RNA (148 nucleotides) under Chlorocebus sabaeus (green monkey). The record is from Rfam by way of RNAcentral. Lineage: Eukaryota; Metazoa; Chordata; Mammalia; Primates; Cercopithecidae.